GCUGGAGGCGUGACUCAAGUGGUAGAGUACCUGCUUAGUGAGCAGGAGGCCCUGGGUUCAAUCCCCAGUGACAGCA
Non-coding RNA from Dipodomys spectabilis (banner-tailed kangaroo rat), 76 nucleotides. Lineage: Eukaryota; Metazoa; Chordata; Mammalia; Rodentia; Heteromyidae. The record is from the annotation of a RefSeq genome assembly.